AAUUAAUGGUAUGUAUUUAUUUCAUGUAUAUGUAAAUAUUUUCAUAUUUUAAUAAGAUAAUCAAAGUCUAGAAAAUAAUAAAUAACUCUUUUAAAAAAAGGUUCUUUUUCUUAAAAAUAUUUUUUGAUGAUUAAUUUUUUUAAAUAUGUUAAAAAAUUUGAAAAAUAUUUUUUAAGAAAAUGCUUUCCAUAAAACAAAUAGAACAUAAAAUUUACAAAAAUACAUAUAUUUGCAUGUAUUUGCGUGUGAUAAGACGCAUGUAAAAUUAAAAAGAUUAAAAUAAUUAUAAUUUUUCAUGAUUUUAGUAAAUUUUUUUAAAAUUGAUUAAGAAAUUUUUUUUUUAAAUUGAUUAAGAAUACACACCUAAGUAAUUCGUGCUUAGCCAGUCCCAAACUUGGAUAAACUCGGACAACCAACGUAAAAAUUUUGUCACACCUCAUGAUAUGAAAAUUCUUACGAUAUAAACGUUGGGACGUCUUUUAUUUACGACGCGCUAUAUCGGAGCACGGGUGUAGUGAGAAAUAUGCAAGAGUGUAGGGUGUUCACCAAAAGCGAAAUGUCAUGCCGGCGUUCGGGUGUGGUGUUAAAUGAGCAAGAGUUCCCACAUCAUGGACAGGUGUGAGUAAAGAAAUUAGUCCAUAAGACAGAUAAUACAACAGAUAGUAGAAUAGAACACCAGAUAGACAUAGAGAACA
RNAcentral lists this unclassified non-coding RNA (695 nucleotides) under Hevea brasiliensis (rubber tree). The record is from RNAcentral. Lineage: Eukaryota; Viridiplantae; Streptophyta; Magnoliopsida; Malpighiales; Euphorbiaceae.